RNAcentral lists this ribosomal RNA (253 nucleotides) under uncultured bacterium. Its description in RNAcentral is "partial 16S ribosomal RNA". It matches the Rfam family "Bacterial small subunit ribosomal RNA", at positions 524 to 776 of the family's 1533-position model. The record is from RNAcentral.
UACGUAGGGGGCAAGCGUUAUCCGGAUUUACUGGGUGUAAAGGGAGCGUAGACGGCAAUGCAAGUCUGGGGUGAAAGGCGGGGGCCCAACCCCCGGACUGCUCUGGAAACUGUAUAGCUGGAGUGCAGGAGAGGUAAGUGGAAUUCCUAGUGUAGCGGUGAAAUGCGUAGAUAUUAGGAGGAACACCAGUGGCGAAGGCGGCUUACUGGACUGUAACUGACGUUGAGGCUCGAAAGCGUGGGGAGCAAACAGG